RNAcentral lists this ribosomal RNA (301 nucleotides) under uncultured bacterium. RNAcentral describes it as "partial 16S ribosomal RNA". It matches the Rfam family "Bacterial small subunit ribosomal RNA", at positions 509 to 807 of the family's 1533-position model. The record is from RNAcentral.
CAGUAGCCACGGGAACACGUAGGGUGCAAGCGUUAAUCGGAAUUACUGGGCGUAAAGCGUGCGCAGGCGGUUAUAUAAGACAGAUGUGAAAUCCCCGGGCUCAACCUGGGAACUGCAUUUGUGACUGUAUAGCUAGAGUACGGCAGAGGGGUAUGGAAUUCCGCGUGUAGCAGUGAAAUGCGUAGAUAUGCGGAGGAACACCGAUGGCGAAGGCAAUCCCCUGGGCCUGUACUGACGCUCAUGCACGAAAGCGUGGGGAGCAAACAGGAUUAGAGACCCCAGUAGUCCCUGUCUCUUAUAC